RNAcentral lists this transfer RNA (29 nucleotides) under Mitellastra caulescens. RNAcentral describes it as "partial tRNA-His". Lineage: Eukaryota; Viridiplantae; Streptophyta; Magnoliopsida; Saxifragales; Saxifragaceae. The record is from RNAcentral. RNAcentral also lists the same sequence under 12 other names.
GGCGGAUGUAGCCAAGUGGAUAAGGCAGU